Molecule: long non-coding RNA, 695 nt
Filed under: Elaeis guineensis (African oil palm)
Lineage: Eukaryota; Viridiplantae; Streptophyta; Magnoliopsida; Arecales; Arecaceae
Description: long non-coding RNA (EGUI_LNC017349)
Source: RNAcentral
GGCCAGUUGUAAGCUGAUGUGGACCAUUUAGUUAGACAGACCCCCCCGCACGUGACGUAUACCUUUCUCUUCCCCUUCAGUUGAACCAUCCCUCAUUUUCCCUCCGAAUAUUGCUCUGUCGCUUUCAAAGGUCGCUUUAUCUCUUAUUCCUCUGGAAAUAGUCAGUGUUUUUCCUUUGAGAUUUUCAUCGUGAGUUGUUUCGAACGGUCGACAACAGAGACUCCUCCAUUAGUAAGUUAUUUUCGUUUGUUUUGUUAUUUUCUCAAAGCUAGGGUUUGAAAUUUUGAUUUUGUAGUUUUUUAUGUCUGCGUGCUUCCAUUUUUUAUGCAUAUUGUGACUCUUUUACAUGCCUUUAAAUAAGAUUUAACCUGGUUUUUUAACAUGGAUAUUGUACAUGUCCAUGUUAGUGGGGGGAUAUGCUCACCGUGGACUCAAGGAAUCUUCGUUCACCCCAAAAAGUACUAAAGAGUUAGUGCAUUGCCUAUUGUUUAUCCUAUUCUUUAUUGCUGUGGUUAGGUAUGAUUACAAUCAAUCCACAGUGAUUCUAGGAAUCUUCUUUCACCUCAGGAAGCACUAAAGAAUAAUAAAAUCCUCAUAUAUAAAAUGGGUAGGUUAUUAAACAAUAGGUUGGGCAAAGUGUGGGACAAAAAUGGAGAUAUAGCGCACAACUGGGAGCAUACGAAAAAGACAGAGCA